This 114-nucleotide non-coding RNA is filed under the name Gammaproteobacteria bacterium. RNAcentral describes it as "TPP sequence". It matches the Rfam family "TPP riboswitch aptamer (THI element)". From Rfam's summary of the family: Vitamin B(1) in its active form thiamin pyrophosphate (TPP) is an essential coenzyme that is synthesised by coupling of pyrimidine and thiazole moieties in bacteria. The previously detected thiamin-regulatory element, thi box was extended, resulting in a new, highly conserved RNA secondary structure, the THI element, which is widely distributed in eubacteria and also occurs in some archaea. Lineage: Bacteria; Pseudomonadati; Pseudomonadota; Gammaproteobacteria. The record is from RNAcentral.
GGCUGUCGCUGGGGGUGUCGCCAUGGGGCGGCUGAGAGGGCGUACUGAUGUGUGCCUAACCCUUUGAACCUGAAUGGGGUCAUACCUACGUAGGGAAUGUGAUUUUUCCUGUAU